RNAcentral lists this ribosomal RNA (459 nucleotides) under uncultured bacterium. Its description in RNAcentral is "partial 16S ribosomal RNA". It matches the Rfam family "Bacterial small subunit ribosomal RNA", at positions 338 to 795 of the family's 1533-position model. The record is from RNAcentral.
CCUACGGGCGGCAGCAGUGAGGAAUAUUGGUCAAUGGACGAGAGUCUGAACCAGCCAAGUAGCGUGAAGGAUGACUGCCCUAUGGGUUGUAAACUUCUUUUAUAUGGGAAUAAAACGUUCCACGUGUGGGAUUUUGUAUGUACCAUAUGAAUAAGGAUCGGCUAACUCCGUGCCAGCAGCCGCGGUAAUACGGAGGAUCCGAGCGUUAUCCGGAUUUAUUGGGUUUAAAGGGAGCGUAGGUGGAUUGUUAAGUCAGUUGUGAAAGUUUGCGGAUCAACCGUAAAAUUGCAGUUGAAACUGGGAGUCUUGAGGACAGUAGAGGUGGGCGGAAUUGGUGGUGUAGCGGGGAAAUGAUUAGAUACCACGAAGAACUCCGAUUGCGAAGGAAGUUCACUGGACUGCAACUGACACUGAGGCUCGAAAGUGUGGGUAUCAAACAGGAUUAGAUACCCUGUAGUC